GCCACGCCCGAAGUCAUUACCCCAACUCUUAGGAGAGGGGGAUGCCGAAGGUAGGACUGGUGACUGGGGUGAAGUCGUAACAAGGUAGCCGUACCGGAAGGUGUGGCUGGAUCACCUCCUUUUAGGGAGACCUAAUCCACUCAGAUAUCGAAAACAGCAAGUAAAAAGAUGCUGAGAUGGUCAUUCCUAGGUCGGUCGAGGUUGGUAAAAACUUUCAAAGUAUUUUUGGUUCAGUUUAAUAACAGAGAAAAAGUCAGCAACAUGGCGUAAAGCCAGACUGCUGGGUAAAACUCAGCCAGAACCUUGAAAACUGCAUAGUAACGCGAAAAAAGCAGGCAGACACAGACAAUCAAAUGAAAGUGUUUGCAGUGGAAAAAACCAAUGUAAAGUGGUCAAGCUAAUAAGGGCUAACGGUGGAUACCUAGGCACACAGAGG
Molecule: unclassified non-coding RNA, 436 nt
Filed under: uncultured Aphanizomenon sp.
Lineage: Bacteria; Bacillati; Cyanobacteriota; Cyanophyceae; Nostocales; Aphanizomenonaceae
Description: partial contains 16S ribosomal RNA, 16S-23S ribosomal RNA intergenic spacer, and 23S ribosomal RNA
Rfam family: Bacterial small subunit ribosomal RNA (bases 1-122)
Source: RNAcentral